GCUCAGUUGGUAGAGCAUUGGUAGAGCAUGGUGUUUGCAACGCCAGGGUUGUGGGUUCGAUUCCCAC
Salmo salar (Atlantic salmon) is the source of this 67-nucleotide non-coding RNA. The record is from Rfam. NCBI's taxonomy places the organism in Eukaryota, Metazoa, Chordata, Actinopteri, Salmoniformes, Salmonidae.